CGCCCCGCGGGGCGGGAACCCUGAGGGGCCGGGAGGGGUCCGGAGCACCGGGAGCGGCUGAGGGAGCCGGGAAAGGGUCUGGAGCACCGGGAGCGGCUGAGGGAGCCGGGAAAGGGCUCAGCCUGGAGAAAAGGAGGCUCGGGGGGACCUUGUGGCUCUCCUCUGACAGGAGGGAGCAGCCGGGGGGGGUCGGGCUUUGCACCCAGGGAACAGGGACAGGACAAGGAUGGCCUCAAGCUGGGCCGCAGGAGGUUCAGGUUGGGUACUGGGGAACAUUUCUUCCCUGAAGAGGUGGUCAGGCCCUGGCACAGCUGCCCAGAGCAGUGGGCAUGGAGUGGUGGAAUCACCAUUCCUGAACGUGUUCAAAAUAUGUGUGGAUUAUGGCACCUGGGGACAUGGUUUCAUAUGGCAAUGCUGGGGGAGUGGUGGGACUCAGUGAUCUCAGAGGGCUUUUUCGACCUUAAUGAUGCUGUGGUUCCAUGGUUCUCGGUUCCCUGCUGCAGUGUUCUGGAAGCAGAACUCUCAUAGGGUGCUGGGCACAGGCCUCCCCUCCUCUGGUGUGGGUCCUGCCGGGUGAACCCCUGGAACUGGCUUUGCCAGGGCUGCAGGAGCCAAGCUGUGAGCCUGCUUUAGAUCCCAGAAUUUUUAAAUGAAUACUAUUUUUGAGCUCUUCCCACACACACAACUCAACAUCUCCGGCAGAUCGCCUCCAGCUGACAGCCCUGAGCCGCCUCCGCUCCCCUCCUGCCCUUGAGCUUGCUUCCAAUCCUGCCUGGGGAUGAAUUUUAAAACCUGGAUCCAUCCAUAUAGUCAGAACCAGGGUCAGUCUGUUUGAAGGCUGUACAUGGAAUGAGAGAUUGGAGUGCUCAUUUGACCUCAGUCUUGCUAAAGAAGCAAAUGAUUGUCAAGAUCCAGCAGCUGGAGAUGAGAAUUCAAUGUUUGACAAGGAGUCCAGCUACCCAAUGGAUGUUCUUCAGCUGAAAAGAAGGAACUCUUAUAUCAGAGAAACUGAUAUUCCUGGAAAAACAGGCCAGUGUGCACCCAGGCUCUCCUUCAAGUCUGAGCUGCAGCAGGGAGCUCCAGAUUCUUUCUCAGCAGUGGUUUACCAGUUUGGGAUGGGCAAGACUGUUGUGGCUGUGAUCAGGGAAGAAGCCAGACUCUUUGAUCCCUCGCUUUUUACGUGGUGGUUUUCAGUCUGGCUGCACUGUGGAGCAAGUCAGCUGCAUCCCUGUGUGAGAAACACAUGCUCACUGUCAGGGGAUGGUGAAAGAGGAAACCAGACUGGGUUGGUGAUCUCAGGUGAUCUGUUUGGAAUUGUUGCAGUCAUGGAUGGAAAUAUUUGUGGCAGUUUUCUCCUCCCAUGAAUUGCAGGGUAGUGUCAUCUUCAGCUGUCCACAGUCUUGCUGUUCUACCUUUCCCUGAGCUCAGAGUGACUGUGGUUGUCUCCACUUUGCUCUUCAUGGCAUGUAGUGGGUCCAGUGAAUGUGACUUUACAGGGAAAACACUCAUAAAUACAACAUCACUCUGACCUUUAAAUCCCAUCUCUGAUCCUUCCCAAAGACACCGUUACAUAACCAUCGUGUAAACUGUCUCCAAAAAAACUAAGAAAUGCCUCUUGUAAAAAUACCCUACCUCCAUCAUGGAGCUAUUGUGAAAACACACUGAGGAGACCAAAAAUACUGCCAAGGAGCUAUCAAGAGUAAGCCCAAAUUCCCACAGAGGAGCCAUUGUAAACAUAACCAUAAAAAAUGGAGGGAUCAUUGUACAAAUCCCUUCAAAAGGCCCUCACGAGAAUACUUCCAAAUAUCACACAAAAGAUUUUUAAUACUGGAUACUUUGUGGGAUUUUUUGGUUGUUUUUUUUUUUAAUGGUCCUUUUAAUGAGGUGUUUAUUGCCAUGCUUUGACAUUACAGAUCACUUCCAAAAUGGCUUUUAUGUGAUGUUAUUGGGGCAACUUUAGAAUCACCAACAUGUUUCCAGUAAAUCCAUAUGGUUUUGACUCUAGGUCAGCUUUAAAUUGCCUUGAUGAUUUUCACAAUUGUUUCAUCAGUGAUACCCUGAGGACAUUUUCUAAAUAUCCCUUCAAUAGGAUCUCUGAGAUGUCAGAUAAAUUUCUUUGCUGGGGCCUUAGAUCUAUGUAUUUUCAUAGCUGCCUUUGGCUGUGCUUUCUCGUGUGCUGUGUCUGUAGUUCAGAAUUUUUCCAGCUUUCACAGGAUUCAUAGAAUGUUUGGUUCCUGGGCUGGGACUUUGGAUAAUUUUUCAAUUUGUUCUGUCCUUUAGGUGAGAGCUUGGAGUCAAUUUAAAGUCAAUCCCUUAACCUUGGGAUAUCAAGGCUCUGGAAUUGGGGGUGUCUUCAGGAAUAUU
Long non-coding RNA from Parus major (Great Tit), 2364 nucleotides. The record is from Ensembl. NCBI's taxonomy places the organism in Eukaryota, Metazoa, Chordata, Aves, Passeriformes, Paridae.